CAGCGCCCUCUGUCCUCCUGGCCGUUUUCCUGAACUCCUAACCUCAGUCAAUACUGCCUCGGGACCUGGCGCUGCCUGGGAGAUCCAGAAGAAAGGAAGCAUCUUGGCCCCUGCCUUGGGGGCGACACGACCGUCCCCAAACACAGCGAGUCACUGGCCUGGGUCUUUGUGCAGAGGCCCCUCUAGGAGCGGGGAACCAACGAUGGCACGAACAUUGAUUUGAGGAGGAUGCUUCGCAGUUUACGAAAAAAUGAGUGCUAGAGGCGUUCAGAAACGGGAAAGAUCACUUUGUGCUCCUGUGAUCUGAAGGCUGCGUGAAGAAGAUGAGGCUUGGAAAAUAGGUUCUGUCAGGUGAGCUGUUGUGCUGUAUGUCUGACCUGAAUUGCCUUUUAGGAGGGAAUCAGUACUUGGAAGCUGGAAUACAUCAGGGAUACCCCUAAAACGAG
This 446-nucleotide long non-coding RNA is filed under the name Homo sapiens (human). RNAcentral's name for it is "non-protein coding lnc-C1orf61-2:5". Lineage: Eukaryota; Metazoa; Chordata; Mammalia; Primates; Hominidae. The record is from RNAcentral.